GGAGUGGUGGCUUAGUGGUUAGAGAGCAGGGCAUUUGUAUCCUGGAGAGGCCACAAGUACAUUGGUUCGAAUCCCACACCGUGCCACUCUG
Non-coding RNA from Ataeniobius toweri, 91 nucleotides. The record is from the annotation of a GenBank genome assembly. NCBI's taxonomy places the organism in Eukaryota, Metazoa, Chordata, Actinopteri, Cyprinodontiformes, Goodeidae.